This 73-nucleotide transfer RNA is filed under the name Bos taurus (domestic cattle). It matches the Rfam family "tRNA". Rfam says of the family: Transfer RNA (tRNA) molecules are approximately 80 nucleotides in length. Their secondary structure includes four short double-helical elements and three loops (D, anti-codon, and T loops). Further hydrogen bonds mediate the characteristic L-shaped molecular structure. tRNAs have two regions of fundamental functional importance: the anti-codon, which is responsible for specific mRNA codon recognition, and the 3' end, to which the tRNAs corresponding amino acid is attached (by aminoacyl-tRNA synthetases). tRNAs cope with the degeneracy of the genetic code in two manners: having more than one tRNA (with a specific anti-codon) for a particular amino acid; and 'wobble' base-pairing, i.e. permitting non-standard base-pairing at the 3rd anti-codon position. The record is from Rfam by way of RNAcentral. Lineage: Eukaryota; Metazoa; Chordata; Mammalia; Artiodactyla; Bovidae. RNAcentral also lists the same sequence under 2 other names.
UCCCUGGAGGUCCAGUGGUUAAGACUCUGCGCUUCCACUGCAGGGAGCGUGGGUUUGACUCCUGACUGGGGAC